GACGAGCGCUGGCGGCGUGCUUAACACGUGCGAGUCGAGCGGGGAGGCCGAGCUUGCUAGGUGGAUGAGUGGCGAACGGGGGAGUAAUACGUGAGUAACCUACCUUGAACUCUGGGAUAAGCCUGGGAAACUGGGGCUAAUACCGGAUACGACCAAUCUCCGCAUGGGGUGUUGGUGGAAAGCGUUAUGUAGUGGUUAUAGAUGGGCUCACGGCCUAUCAGCUUGUUGGUGAGGUAACGGCUCACCAAGGCGACGACGGGUAGCCGGCCUGAGAGGGUGACCGGCCACACUGGGACUGAGACACGGCCCAGACUCCUACGGGAGGCAGCAGUGGGGAAUAUUGCACAAUGGGCGCAAGCCUGAUGCAGCGACGCCGCGUGAGGGAUGACGGCCUUCGGGUUGUAAACCUCUGUUAGCAGGGAAGAAGAGAGAUUGACGGUACCUGCAGAGAAAGCGCCGGCUAACUACGUGCCAGCAGCCGCGGUAAUACGUAGGGCGCUAGCGUUGUCCGGAAUUAUUGGGGCGUAAAGAGCUUGUAAGCGGUUUGUCGCGUCUGCUGUGAAAGGCCGGAGCUUAACUCCGUGUAUUGCAGGGGGCACGGGCAGACUAGAGUGCUUUAGGGGAGACGGGAAUUCCUGGUGUAGCGGUGGAAUGCGCAGAUAUCAGGAGGAACACCGAUGGCGAAGGCAGGUCUCUGGGCUGUAACUGACGCUGAGAAGCGAAAGCAUGGGGAGCGAACAGGAUUAGAUACCCUGGUAGUCCAUGCCGUAAACGUUGGGCACUAGGUGUGGGGAACAUUCCACGUUUUCCGCGCCGUAGCUAACGCAUUAAGUGCCCCGCCUGGGGAGUACGGCCGCAAGGCUAAAACUCAAAGAAAUUGACGGGGGCCCGCACAAGCGGCGGAGCAUGCGGAUUAAUUCGAUGCAACGCGAAGAACCUUACCAAGGCUUGACAUAUACUGGAUCGCAUCAGAGAUGGUGUUUCCCUUCGGGGCUGGUAUACAGGUGGUGCAUGGUUGUCGUCAGCUCGUGUCGUGAGAUGUUGGGUUAAGUCCCGCAACGAGCGCAACCCUCGUUCUAUGUUGCCAGCACGUUAUGGUGGGGACUCAUAGGAGACUGCCGGGGUCAACUCGGAGGAAGGUGGGGAUGACGUCAAAUCAUCAUGCCCCUUAUGUCUUGGGCUUCACGCAUGCUACAAUGGCCGGUACAGAGGGUUGCGAUACUGUGAGGUGGAGCUAAUCCCUAAAAGCCGGUCUCAGUUCGGAUUGGGGUCUGCAACUCGACCCCAUGAAGUCGGAGUCGCUAGUAAUCGCAGAUCAGCAACGCUGCGGUGAAUACGUUCCCGGGCCU
Molecule: ribosomal RNA, 1349 nt
Filed under: uncultured bacterium
Lineage: Bacteria
Description: bacterial SSU rRNA
Rfam family: Bacterial small subunit ribosomal RNA
Source: RNAcentral